Heterocephalus glaber (naked mole-rat) is the source of this 1150-nucleotide long non-coding RNA. Lineage: Eukaryota; Metazoa; Chordata; Mammalia; Rodentia; Bathyergidae. The record is from Ensembl.
AGCCAACAGGAUUAUCAGGCAUGGUGGUGCACACCUGUCAUCGCAGCACUGGGAAGCUGAGGGAGGGAGCAGGAUCACUGAAGAUAGCGGAGUGGUGAACAGCAGAGAAACGGUCUGAGAAUUGGUGUCCAGAUGCUGGAAUACAGCAAUGUGAGGAAGAGAAGAAGGGAAGUGGGUCCCUGGGACCCAGCAAGGAUCUGAAGCUAGAAUUGAAGUCCACAGGGAGAGUGAAGACAGAGACCUCAACACAGAAGGAGGAGGUGGCAAACCGUGCUUUCUGCCUGAGCCCUGACUCACUGCAUGGGAGGGGCAGCUCAAACCUGGAGAUGCACAGUGACUACUGGUGACCCCAGAGACCUCCACGGAGGAACACACCAGUGGAACAGAUCAGUGGACACAGCAGACCAAAGAGGCUGUACUGGGGAUCGAACUCAGGACCUUGUACUUUUGAGGCAGGCAUGACACCAUUGAGCUAAAUCUCCAACCCCCCAGGAAUUAAACUAAAAGAAAAUAGAAAAUGAGAAGACAUGGAAGCAAGAUGCAACCCCAGACUUCCAGGUCACCAAAGGCAGACCCCGGAGGGAAUUGACAUGGAACAAUUCAAAGACACCCACCUGGACUCUCUGAAGUGGUAACAGCAGAAGUAACAAAGCAGAUGAUUGAGGCUCUAGAAAAAAAAUCUAAUUCGAAAUUUCCGGGCCGGGGAUUUUGCUCAAUGGCACCAUGCCUGCCUUGCAUGUGCAAGGUCCUGAGUUUGAUCUCCGGUACCACAAAAAAAAAAAAAAAAAGAAUUUCUCAGAUAAUUACAGAGAUGGUGACUGUAAUGAAAGACAUGGUUAGUGAUUCUAGGGGAGAUACAGAUAAAAAAUAUAUAUAAGAGCUUAGGAAAAUGAUGGAAACCUUGAACACUCAACAUAGGAAAGAAAUGGAAUCCAUGAAACAAUUCAAACAGAUAUCCAGGAGAUUAAAAAUUCCAUUGAAUUUAUACGGAGCAGAAUGAACCAAUGUGAGGAUAGGAUAUCAGAUCUAGAAUCAGGACUGUGGUUAGCAAUCAUAAAAAGAAAGAUUACUUAAAAAUUGCAAGGGACCACGAAAAAUCAAUCCAACAGCUGCUAGAUGACGCAAAGACGAGUAAUAUAAGAUUGACCAG